Non-coding RNA from Cajanus cajan (pigeon pea), 332 nucleotides. Lineage: Eukaryota; Viridiplantae; Streptophyta; Magnoliopsida; Fabales; Fabaceae. The record is from RefSeq and is a predicted model, not a curated record.
CGACGCCGUUGGGUGUUGAAGUAAAAGGAAAGAAGAGCGAGACUGAAAUCACAUCACUGUGCCUCCGUCACAGCCAAAGGUGUCGUCGUUGCGGCUCACAGCGCCACCAUCCAAACAAUCUCGAAGAGAAAAGAUUGCAGGCAACUGGUUUUCCUAUCGGUGAUUGAUUUUCUCUAUAUAAAUCCUUGGGUGUAUGUUUCAUUUUUCAGCUAAAGGAAAAAAUGAAGAUUGUUUUGGUUGCAGUUAGGUCAUUAAGUGCCAAUUUGUCACAUCAAUUUCAUCAGACCCAUAUGCUCAGAAGUCUUUCCACUUGGCAAUUUACAGGUACUUGG